CGGACGGGUGAGUAACGCGUGGGUAACCUGCCCUAUACAGGGGGAUAACAGUUGGAAACGGCUGCUAAUACCGCAUAAGCGCACAGUACCGCAUGGUACCGUGUGAAAAACUCCGGUGGUAUGAGAUGGACCCGCGUCUGAUUAGCUAGUUGGUGGGGUAACGGCCUACCAAGGCGACGAUCAGUAGCCGGCUUGAGAGAGUGAACGGCCACAUUGGGACUGAGACACGGCCCAG
RNAcentral lists this ribosomal RNA (235 nucleotides) under uncultured bacterium. RNAcentral's name for it is "partial 16S ribosomal RNA". It matches the Rfam family "Bacterial small subunit ribosomal RNA", at positions 99 to 334 of the family's 1533-position model. The record is from RNAcentral.